GGCGGCCAUCUUUGUUGGUUGACCAGGUCACGCCACACAUUUUUUUUUAACUAGAUACCCCAAAGAUGAUUGUGGCCAAGUUUGGAUUAAUUUGGCCCAGUAGUUUCAGAGGAGAAGAUUUUUGUAAAAGAUUACUUUAAUUUACGAAAAAUGGUUAAAAAUUGACUAUAAAGGGCAAUAACUCCUAAACGGGUCAACUGACCAUUUUGGUCAUGUUGACUUAUUUGUAAAUCUAACUUUGCUGAACAUUAUUGCUGUUUACA
RNAcentral lists this long non-coding RNA (263 nucleotides) under Mytilus galloprovincialis (Mediterranean mussel). The record is from RNAcentral. Lineage: Eukaryota; Metazoa; Mollusca; Bivalvia; Mytilida; Mytilidae.